RNAcentral lists this microRNA precursor (87 nucleotides) under Phlebotomus papatasi. Its description in RNAcentral is "microRNA mir-515". The record is from RNAcentral. Lineage: Eukaryota; Metazoa; Arthropoda; Insecta; Diptera; Psychodidae.
UAUAUGACCCUAUUGUCCCCAAGGGUAACAGUAUAUUUUGAUAUAAUAAAAAAACACUGUUACCCUUGGGGACAAUAGGGUCAUAUA